AUUUAAAUAGCUUAUAUUAGAGUUUAAUAUUGAAGAUAUUAAGGAGAUAAAAUUAUCUUUAAAUA
RNAcentral lists this transfer RNA (65 nucleotides) under Bombyx huttoni. RNAcentral's name for it is "tRNA-Phe". Lineage: Eukaryota; Metazoa; Arthropoda; Insecta; Lepidoptera; Bombycidae. The record is from RNAcentral.